RNAcentral lists this long non-coding RNA (862 nucleotides) under Solanum tuberosum (potato). RNAcentral describes it as "long non-coding RNA (STUB_LNC011102)". Lineage: Eukaryota; Viridiplantae; Streptophyta; Magnoliopsida; Solanales; Solanaceae. The record is from RNAcentral.
CACUCCUUAUCUCCCCACGUAAUACUUCUCUCCCAUUAUCUUCAUUUUUAUUUUUUAUUUUUAUUGAAUUUUGAGUUUUUUAUCUGCAUAAUCCUUAAAUAUAAUAUGAAUAUGCAACUCUCUUACUUUCUGCUAUACCUCAUUUGAAUUUUUAGUGGGUUUCUUAAGUUUAUUUUAAUUUGUGAACUUUGUCUCCCUUCACUCUAGUGUUCUUUUUUUUAAAAAAAAAAUAGUAUGAUAAUUUAACUACGAGUUACUUGUGUUUAGCCUAUGAGUUUGUUCUGUGUUAGAGACUUUUAGGGACUUGUUAAAAAAUAUGAUCUAAUUUUUUCGACUGCUCUAUAUACUAAGUAAGUUUCUUCAUCUCGAUUGUUGAUUUUUUUUUGUUUGCAGACAAAACUCAAGGUCUAUAUCUUUAGAAAAGAGGGAAUGACAAUUUUACCAUGUAAUUUGAGUUAGUAUCUUUUCUAUUUAUUUCUCAUUCUAAUAUCAAUUUUACAAUUAAAUUUUGAAAAUAUGUCAUGUUUAUAUCAUAAUUGCAGCGAGUACAUAUUAAAAUUGUAUUCUUUUCCUUUUCACACAGGUAUGUACAUGAAUGGAAAAAUUGAAUGAAGAGUAAAGUUAUCAGAUAAGUUGUUUACAUUAGCAUAUAAGAAGUAACAUUUUUAUUUUCUUAUUGACGACACAUUAUGUACAUUCGUUAGGAUCAUAUAAUAAUCUUUAAUGAGAUUAUUUCAAUAUUAUUUUAGUUCUAAAAUAUUAUAGGAUCAUGAGUGACACUUUUUGUUAUUAUGUUAAAUUUUUUAUUUUGUUAUGUUGAGUUUAUAUUAUAAUAUGAUAUCUGCUAAGUUUAAAAAUUAAA